CUAAAUAUAUUAACCCGACUAUAGUAGUUUAAGAUAAUGGUUAGGUCUAAGAGGUUAAAGAAUUAAACGUGUCAGGACUAAAGUAAUUCUAGAACGAAUGUACCUUCCUGAAAAGUGGGGUGCCACAAUAGGUACCUCCAAGUGUACCUUAGAAUAUUGCUGAUGACAUAGAAAGGUCAUUAUUAAUUGCACUCUAACUAUUACUUACUAAACCUCAAACAUUAUUAUUAAAUCGUAAGCACCAUCAUUAUACCCCUAUUUCUAAACCAUGCAUACACCCU
This 281-nucleotide long non-coding RNA is filed under the name Ananas comosus (pineapple). RNAcentral describes it as "long non-coding RNA (ACOM_LNC017340)". The record is from RNAcentral. Lineage: Eukaryota; Viridiplantae; Streptophyta; Magnoliopsida; Poales; Bromeliaceae.